GUUUUUGAACAAAAUUAUGGUUUUGUGAGAUGUAUUGGUUCGUGCUAAAUUUAUGAUACAUUAUCUAUUACAUAUUAUUACAUAUAACUCAUUAUUUAUUAAUUUUUACUAUAUAUAAAUGUGUGCAUUUCAUAUAAAUAACAUGCUCAGCCAAAGCGCCGGCCCAGCCGGCGGCGGCAGGCAAUAAAAGACCAAUGAAAUUCCCGUACAAUCAACGUUCAG
RNAcentral lists this long non-coding RNA (222 nucleotides) under Sorghum bicolor (sorghum). RNAcentral describes it as "long non-coding RNA (SBIC_LNC003960)". Lineage: Eukaryota; Viridiplantae; Streptophyta; Magnoliopsida; Poales; Poaceae. The record is from RNAcentral.